AGCAUAAGAUGGAAAGAGGGAAAAAUUUAAAAAAAAGUUCCGUUGCCGGGAAUCGAACCCGGGUCUCCUGGGUGAAAGCCAGAUAUCCUAACCGCUGGACGACA
Long non-coding RNA from Telopea speciosissima, 104 nucleotides. RefSeq lists it as uncharacterized. NCBI's taxonomy places the organism in Eukaryota, Viridiplantae, Streptophyta, Magnoliopsida, Proteales, Proteaceae. The transcript has 3 exons. The record is from RefSeq and is a predicted model, not a curated record.